This 220-nucleotide unclassified non-coding RNA is filed under the name uncultured fungus. Its description in RNAcentral is "sequence contains 18S rRNA gene, ITS1, 5.8S rRNA gene, ITS2". Lineage: Eukaryota; Fungi. The record is from RNAcentral.
ACUAUUAUAUAGUACUCAGACAUCACUAACAUUCAGAGUUUGGUCCUCUGGCAGGCGCGAGCGGGCAGAGCCCGCCGUGGAGACCACGGCCUGCCAAAGCAACAAGAGUAGGUAGACACGGGUGGGGUUACCGGUUGCCCGGUAUCCUUAUUAAUGAUCCUUCCGCAGGUUCACCUACGGAAACCUUGUUACGACUUUUACUUCCUCUAAAUGACCAAGA